AAAUAAGAAACAAAAUUUGUAAUUAGUUUCGACCUAAUCCCUGGCAAUAAGCCCUUAUUUU
RNAcentral lists this transfer RNA (61 nucleotides) under Pyrocoelia pygidialis. RNAcentral's name for it is "tRNA-Arg". Lineage: Eukaryota; Metazoa; Arthropoda; Insecta; Coleoptera; Lampyridae. The record is from RNAcentral.